AUUGAACGCUGGCGGCAUGCUUUACACAUGCAAGUCGAACGGGGUGAGGAGCUUGCUCCUCAUCUAGUGGCGAACGGGUGAGUAAUACAUCGGAACGUACCGUGUAGUGGGGGAUAACGUAGCGAAAGUUACGCUAAUACCGCAUACGAUCCACGGAUGAAAGCAGGGGACCUUCGGGCCUUGUGCUAUACGAGCGGCCGAUGUCUGAUUAGCUAGUUGGUGGGGUAAAGGCCCACCAAGGCAACGAUCAGUAGCGGGUCUGAGAGGAUGAUCCGCCACACUGGGACUGAGACACGGCCCAGACUCCUACGGGAGGCAGCAGUGGGGAAUUUUGGACAAUGGGCGCAAGCCUGAUCCAGCCAUGCCGCGUGUCUGAAGAAGGCCUCGGUUGUAAGGACUUUGUUCAGGGAGCAAACCCAGACAGCUAAUAUCUGUUGGGAGUGAGAGUACCU
Molecule: ribosomal RNA, 452 nt
Filed under: uncultured bacterium
Lineage: Bacteria
Description: bacterial SSU rRNA
Rfam family: Bacterial small subunit ribosomal RNA
Source: RNAcentral